UUAACAGGUGACUUAUCAAUACUUUAAGAUGCAUUAUGAUGAGUAUUGUUUUAAGCUUGUGUGCAUGACAAAUAACACGUUAGAUACUCUGUACUAGUCAUAUAUCUGUUACAUAGUACACUGUAAAAUGUAAUAUUGUGUUUAAUUAAAAAUAUUAAAUAGGCUGAACUCAAUUUUUAUCAAUUUGUUAUUAGAACUCAAUUUAAAUAAGUUACCAGUACUUUUUAUGCAAAAAUGCUGAUAAACUCCAUUUAUUUGAGUUGUCUUAACUUAGAAUAACUAAGUAAGCUGGAAGUUUUGCUUCUCAGUGCGGAAGGAUGAAAGAUGUGUUUUGAAAAUGCCACGUGACUACCGUCCUCCUCCCUCUCGGAUCAGUCCGCAUGUUCACGGUGCAUUUUUUAUGGAAUAUGUUGAGCAAACCUGGAGAAGCGUCAGCUCAAGAUAUUAUUGUUGUCAUUGCUGUGGAUCUUUACCUGAUACACUGACUUGGCUCGGGACCAGCACUCCUGUUGUUGGACAGAAAGACAUCAACUCAGUGGUAAGUAUUUUGGUUUUCCAAUAUAUUAGCAACUGUCAGUGACAUUUAUAUUAAUCAGGCUGAACUUUAAUCAUACUUUAGAUCAGCCUGUUUUACUUAUUGUUUUGUUUGUGCUUUGGUUUGGGGAAGUUGUUUCUUUACUGAUCUUUUCCUGUCUUCUGUUAUUAGACUUGUGAUAUGACUGCACUGUGCUGUUGCUGGUGACUCCAGUUAAUUCUACAAGACAUGCUGUGUAAGUAAACAAACAACAACAACAGUUUGGUCUGCAUUUCUUGAAAGAUCACAUCCCCCAAACUUAGUUUAGAGGGUCUACACUGUAUAUAGUGAAGUCUGCAAGUUUUCUAACAGCAAAAUCUGUUUUGUGCCCAAAAUCAUUUUGCACAUCAUUAGAAUGAAAGUUAUUGGCCAUGUUUGCAUAGCCCUUUUUUAAAAUGAUGCUUUCAUGACAUUAUUGUGUGUUGGGUGGUGGUCAGGGCUAUGCAGACUGACAAUUUGGGACAUUGAAUGUCACCUCUCCGGUGGGGAGGGAGCCUGAAAUUGUCUAAAUUGGAGUCUGUUCUAUACCAAAUGCAGAAAAAAAUGUUUUAAGAAAGCAAUUAAGUUCAUGUUCCAAAAAAUAUGAUUGUUUGCUUGCAGGACAACAGGAGAGAUGAGUCCUCCGUCACAGAUGGUGUGGUCAGUGAAGAUGGUCGCCUGCAGGUUCAAGCUCAUUGCAUUUCCAACCCACAUCCACUGCCACUGUACUUAAGGGAAGUUAAAGACUUUCUUCUGCACCUACAUUUGGAUCACCUCGAUCCAUGACAGUCAUUCAGGCAGUAAUGUCUGGACUGGAAACAAGCCAUCCUUAAAAUAAUACAACAUUCCAGCUCAUGUGUUGGAAUGGAAAACAAAUGUGUUGUUUAAAUUAGAGACUGCACUUGUGACAGAACAAUAAAUAUUUUAUUUUGAUUAUAUAAGUAAUGUAAGUACAAAACAAACUGUGGUAGACCUAAACUUAUUUUCAGAAUAAUUACAUCUGAGACUUUGUUUCAUUGUAAAAUUAUAACAGUGAUGGCAAUAUAAUUGUUUGUUGUUCAGCAGAACAGUGUCCAGUAUGUUGGCUGUUAUACUUUGUUGUGUUUGAAAAUAAAAGUUGGGCUCAUUUUAACAUCAUUACAAAAAUUGUUGUUAAUUAUUUUUAAUCAUAUUCAGGUUACCACAAAUUGUUUUUUCAUUUAGUUGAACUUAACAUGUUUGUCAGUAGGUAAACAAUUAGUAUUGUACAGUCAGAAAUAUCAAGUUAUUGUUAAUACUGCAGAUUUGCAAUGUAUAAGUUGUCCUAACAGUCAUCUUAAGUAAGCUUUACUUAGUUUUUUUGAGGCAACGAGUUUCCAUAAUUUUUUUGAGUUCUGGGAACUAACACGGCUGUACAGUGUACUCAAAAUGAGUAAGUUGCCCUAACUUGGUCAUCUUACGUAAACUUGAUCCAAUUUUUUUGAGUUCUGGGAACAAAUGAGCUUGUACAGAGUACUCAAAGUAAAUAAGUUGUCCUAACUUAGUCAUUUUUAGCUAAGCUUUACUCAAUUUUUUUGAGGCAACGAGUUUCCAUAAUUUUUUUGAGUUCUGGGAACUAAUUAGAUUUUACAGUGUAGUUACAUAUUAUCUUGUAACAAUUUAUAUGUUGAAAUUUAAAAAAAAAAAAAAAUCUACCUUCACAUGUUACAAUUUAUGUGAUACAGGUGAUUGAAAGGCUGUGUGUUCAUCUUUAAGAUCCUGACCCCACCUGGGCAGUGCAGAUCAGUCCUGUCAGUGACAGAAAGCAUGAUCUUGUUCAUCUUCUGUUUAGUCUGGCUCUAGCUGCUUUGUCUAUGUGAGAGACGGGAAGUGAGAUACAGCUUGGUGAAGGUUCUGGUUCUGAUACAGCUUCAGUGUCUGCUCGGCAUUAUGGUGCUUGUUUAACCACAGCCAUGACCAGGGCUAAUUCAGAUGUUGUUAAGGAUAACAAUGUUGAGAAAAAAUGAAAUGAUGCCAUGUGUUCUGAUAUUUUC
This is a long non-coding RNA of Oreochromis niloticus (Nile tilapia), 2565 nucleotides long. The record is from Ensembl. Lineage: Eukaryota; Metazoa; Chordata; Actinopteri; Cichliformes; Cichlidae.